GGGCAACACCCGUACCCAUACCGAACACGGCAGUUAAGCCCACCAGCGCCGAUGGUACUUGGACCGCAGGGUCCUGGGAGAGUAGGUCGCUGCCGGACA
RNAcentral lists this ribosomal RNA (99 nucleotides) under Carboxydocella sp. JDF658. The record is from RNAcentral. Lineage: Bacteria; Bacillati; Bacillota; Clostridia; Eubacteriales; Clostridiales Family XVI. Incertae Sedis.